Molecule: ribosomal RNA, 908 nt
Filed under: uncultured bacterium
Lineage: Bacteria
Description: bacterial SSU rRNA
Rfam family: Bacterial small subunit ribosomal RNA
Source: RNAcentral
AGAGUUUGAUCAUGGCUCAGGACGAACGCUGGCGGCGCGCCUAACACAUGCAAGUCGAACGAGAAUCAGCUGAUGAAGUUUUCGAAUGGAUUCGGUUGAGGAAAGUGGCGAACGGGCGAGUAACGCGUGAGCAACCUACCUUGUACUGGGGGAUAACGUCGGGAAACCGGCGCUAAUACCGCAUAACAUUACGAUAGCGCAUGUUAUUGUAAUCAAAGCUUUAGUGGUACGAGACGGGCUCGCGUCCAAUUAGCUAGUUGGUGAGGUAAAGGCUCACCAAGGCGACGAUUGGUAGCCGAACUGAGAGGUUGAUCGGCCGCAUUGGGACUGAGACACGGCCCAGACUCCUACGGGAGGCAGCAGUGGGGAAUAUUGCGCAAUGGGGGAAACCCUGACGCAGCGACGCCGCGUGAAGGAAGAAGGCCUUCGGGUUGUAAACUUCUUUGAUCGGGGACGAAGAUGACGGUACCCGAGGAACAAGCCACGGCUAACUACGUGCCAGCAGCCGCGGUAAUACGUAGGUGGCAAGCGUUGUCCGGAAUUACUGGGCGUAAAGGGCGUGUAGGCGGGGGGACAAGUCAGAUGUGAAAUACCGCGGCUUAACUGCGGGGGUGCAUCUGAAACUGUUCUUCUUGAGUGUCGGAGAGGAAAGUGGAAUUCCCAGUGUAGCGGUGAAAUGCGUAGAGAUUGGGAGGAACACCAGUGGCGAAGGCGGCUUUCUGGACGAUAACUGACGCUGAGGCGCGAAAGCGUGGGGAGCAAACAGGAUUAGAUACCCUGGUAGUCCACGCUGUAAACGAUGGAUACUAGGUGUAGGAGGUAUCGACCCCUUCUGUGCCGGAGUUAACACAAUAAGUAUCCCGCCUGGGGAGUACGGCCGCAAGGCUGAAACUCAAAUGAAUUGACGG